This 254-nucleotide ribosomal RNA is filed under the name uncultured bacterium. RNAcentral's name for it is "partial 16S ribosomal RNA". It matches the Rfam family "Bacterial small subunit ribosomal RNA", at positions 524 to 776 of the family's 1533-position model. The record is from RNAcentral.
UACGAAGGGGGCUAGCGUUGUUCGGAAUUACUGGGCGUAAAGCGUAUGCAGGCGGAUCGUUAAGUCGGGGGUGAAAUCCCGAGGCUCAACCUCGGAACUGCCUUCGAUACUGGCGACCUUCGAGUCCGGGAGAGGUGAGUGGAACUCCGAGUGUAGAGGUGAAAUUCGUAGAUAUUCGGAAGAACACCAGUGGCGAAGGCGGCUCACUGGCCCGGUACUGACGCUGAGAUACGAAAGCGUGGGGAGCAAACAGG